CCCCCCCAACUUUCCCGAGGACCCUGGAAGAUGAGAGGGGUCCGGGACUCCGGUACUCGCGGAGGAAACUGCCUGCAUCUCACAGAUAUUUGCGUCGCACCAGGCCUGUUUUAUGCUUCAUGCAUCUUUGACAUCUCCAUGAUGGCCGAGGUCUGCUGUGCUCAGAACAAAGCUCCCAGGUAAUUUUGUUGCACAGCUGGGGUUGAGAAUCACCAAUCAAGGAAGAUGGAAACCCACAGUGCCCGAUUUUUCAGUCAGCCUUGGUUUCUAAGUCAGAGGCACUGUUUGGUACCCACAGAAAUUAUUCAGAUGCUCUGGGAGCCUUCUAGGUUUCUAUGCCAACUGUUUGGCAUACACAUUUUUUUUUCCUCCACUGGGCUCACUUGUCCUAGAGUAUUCUAUAUGAAAAAAAAAUAGGGGGUUAUUACUAACAUUAAAGACUUUGACUGCAUAGGGACUUCUGCUUUUCCAGAGGACUCCCCUCUCCCUCCAAUUUACUGUUUGCAGUGCUUCUUUGCUUCCUGGAAUGGAAGAGGUUCAGCAGAGGCACUCAGAGCUAUGUGCAGGGAAGUCACUCCAUAGCCACCCUGAUCCCAGCUCAGAGAAGUCACCCCACAUCUACCCCCGAUAGAUGCUCAGGGGUCUCAUCUUGUCCAUGUCCUGCGUCUAGUUCAGAGAUCUCACUCUGUCCACCCCAUGCUCCUGACCCAACGGUGUCCCUGAAAAACACCGCCUGCGCCACCGACACCAGCACUUUCACCGGAAGAACAUACCUCACCAAGGCUCCCCGUUCCCUAAAGCUCCUGCCAACCUCCAAGAGGAUCGACCCAAAGGCUUUGCUGUUAUCUCCCGUACCAGGAACCUGCCUGGAGCCAAUGCAGCCAGCUUAAGACUGUCUGUCAAAGCAUUCAUCGGAGGAUAUAGCUGUUGUUGCCUGAGGCGAUGGAAGGCAGUUGGAUGGAGAAGCGAUUCAGGGGGCAGGAGGUGCUUGGGGAGUAAGGAAUUGGAAGAUGCUUUGGGACUGGGGGGUGCAGGCGGGGCUGUGUGUUAAUUCAGUAAAUAUCCAAGAAGCCGCCAAGGCUGUCCCUGGCUGACCUUCAGGUCUAGAGGCGGGUGAACAGAAGAGCUAUCUAUCUAGGAUGCCUGGCUGAGGGCUGGCCAGGCCCCAGCUCACACAGCUCAUCUGCAAAGACUGGGUUUGCUUUUCCUUCUGUGACUCUAAUGGAGCAGAGCCAUUAUGGCCGCAUAAGGACGGGCACACAGGCUUUACAAAAAUUUACAAAAUUGAUCCUUUAAACCAUGGGUUGUGCAAACAAGCACCAGUAAGAACGACCAUUCACUGGUUGUGGGGGUGGGCUCCGAUUUCUAUAACUGUUGCUUAUGCUGUUGAAAAUGUCCGGUUUUCAACAACAAGAAUUAUGAAGAAUAUGAAGUAUGAGAAAGAAUAGCCUAUAACACGGGAAGAGGACAACUAAAACGAACUGUCCCUAAGGGAGCCUGUACACUGGUCUCACCAGAAAAGGCUAAAUAAACUAAAUGGAAUACGUUCAAGGAAUAGCCUGAGGUAAUGAUGCAUACCUGCAAUCCCAGCACUUGGGAAGCGGAGGCAAAGAGGACAGUCAUGAGUUUGAGGCUAGCCUGGGCUACAGAGUAAGUUCCAGGUUACAAUGAGAGAUCCUGUCUCAAACACAAAAAUGAACAAACAAAAAAGCUAAAGGAAGCCAUACCCAAAGACUGACCUAAAUGAUUACGAGAAUGUCUCUGUAAGAAGUAUGGAUGAGACAGAAGUCAUAAAAAGGAAGCAAGAGAAUACUGGAGUUGAACAGUGUGCUAGUAAGAUGAACAUUUGCACAACUGAGAAGGCCUCAGUGGCACAGGAUGAAAGCAAACCUCACGAAAUGGCCCCCUUUAGGCAUAGACAGGAAUCCCGAAAUCUGAGAGUCAGCUCUCUUAUAGGAUGCGACCCCCGAGGGCCCAUGAUCCAUGACGGCUACACCGUGUGCAUACAGGCAGUACUAAGUGGCAUGCUGGGACACGUGGAAAAAACAAGAGAAGAACACACAGAACUGAGGAGGAGGGAAUGGUGGUGGUGAGGAGAGAGGAGACAUCGGGGGACCAGGGGAUGGGAGGCAGACUUGAUAAAGACCUAUUAUUCAUGUGUAUGAAAUUCCCAAACAAUAAAAAUAGCUCUGUGUUUGAUGG
Molecule: long non-coding RNA, 2202 nt
Filed under: Mus pahari (shrew mouse)
Lineage: Eukaryota; Metazoa; Chordata; Mammalia; Rodentia; Muridae
Description: predicted gene, 26676 (MGP_PahariEiJ_G0002706.1)
Source: RNAcentral